UAGGGAAUCUUCGGCAAUGGGGGCAACCCUGACCGAGCAACGCCGCGUGAGUGAAGAAGGUUUUCGGAUCGUAAAGCUCUGUUGUAAGUCAAGAACGAGUGUGAGAGUGGAAAGUUCACACUGUGACGGUAGCUUACCAGAAAGGGACGGCUAACUACGUGCCAGCAGCCGCGGUAAUACGUAGGUCCCGAGCGUUGUCCGGAUUUAUUGGGCGUAAAGCGAGCGCAGGCGGUUUGAUAAGUCUGAAGUUAAAGGCUGUGGCUCAACCAUAGUUCGCUUUGGAAACUGUCAAACUUGAGUGCAGAAGGGGAGAGUGGAAUUCCAUGUGUGGCGGUGAAAUGCGUAGAUAUAUGGAGGAACACCGGUGGCGAAAGCGGCUCUCUGGUCUGUAACUGACGCUGAGGCUCGAAAGCGUGGGGAGCGAACAGGAUUAGAUACCCUGGUAGUCCACGCCGUAAACGAUGAGUGCUAGGUGUUGGAUCCUUUCCGGGAUUCAGUGCCGCAGCUAACGCAUUAAGCACUCCGCCUGGGGAGUACGACCGCAAGGUUG
RNAcentral lists this ribosomal RNA (550 nucleotides) under uncultured bacterium. Its description in RNAcentral is "bacterial SSU rRNA". It matches the Rfam family "Bacterial small subunit ribosomal RNA", at positions 355 to 896 of the family's 1533-position model. The record is from RNAcentral.